This is a non-coding RNA of Psilocybe cubensis, 103 nucleotides long. The record is from the annotation of a RefSeq genome assembly. Lineage: Eukaryota; Fungi; Basidiomycota; Agaricomycetes; Agaricales; Agrocybaceae.
GCUGAGAUGGCCGAGUGGUUAAGGCGAGUGAUUUGAAUUGGGCAUUGCAGCUCACGUGAUCACUUGGUGUUUCACCGCACAGGUUCAAACCCUGUUCUCAGCG